UCCACUCCAGCACUCUUGCCUGGAAAAUCCCAUGGACAGAGGAGGCUGAUAUAGGCUACAGUCCAUGGGGUCGCAAAGAGUCAGACAGGACUGAGUGACUUCACUUUCACUUUCAGCAUCCUCAGAGAGAUCCUUUUUACCAGAUUGGUCCAAGACACUAACAAGGGGCCCAGUAGGCUCUACACAAGUCUAGAAGCUUCUGUCCACUGAAAACACACACACAUUUAACUUGCCCACUUACCCAUCAUGCAUCUAUUUAACAGUUAAUAUAUGCCAGGCGGGGCCCUAAGCCUUGGAAAUGACGACAUGAAUCAGAAGAUUCCUCCUGUUAGAGAGCUCAGAGUCCAGUCGUCAAUUCAAAACCUUCACAAAUAAAAAUGAAGCAUCUCAAACGCAUGUAAAGAGGGGAGUAACAACUCUAAUAACCACUCUAUGAUUUAUUCCCAGAGCAUCUUUUGUAAGAAGUAUUUGUCCAUUAGCAGCCUAUGUCUUUGUUACUGUGGGUUACAUUUCUUUCCUUUUAAAUCUUUCAUUACAUAUAUGCCAACGGGCUGGUUCAGAUGCUAAAUUUAGUGUAACAGUUCUUCAAAGUAUCUUCAGAGUCUGCCUCAAGCGCCUGCCUCUGGCCUUAAAGGGCAAAUCAAAACGUUUCCAAUUGGUUUCCAGCCCACAUUACAAUGUGUAUGUGUAUUUGAAAGACUGUUUCUUGGCUAUAAUUGGUAGUUUUCUUGUAGCUAGUUCUGAGGAAAGAAUUGCAGAGAGCUCUCUGUCUGCUAACAGUAGUUAGCGCUGAGCUCAAAAACAGCAGGAAAAAAAAUGAAGUCUGAGUGUCUGGGAUGCUUGCCAGACUGACCUCCAGAGUUUCUUGCAGCAGAAGGUUUUUAGCCGAGCAGACGCAGGGCUCCUCCUGUCGAGACCAGGGCUCUGCCUUUUAACUUCUCUCCUUGUAGCAGAGAGAAGAAAAGGUAACCACCAACUCCUUUAAUUAUCUUGCAGAAAUCUCACUGUCAUCAGUGACACACGUAACACAUGGAUUCCUCCAUACUGUGGUCAGGAAAAGACAAGAUGGCACCACGCAUGUUCUUUCUAGGAGCACGUGUGUCACAUUCAAAGAGGAAGUUACCAUUCGUUUUCUCGGACGAUGGAAGGUAGCCCGUGAUGGUUCCUUUCCUCCGGGCCCCUCGGCUCUGCGCCAUGGGGACGAGGCUUGGCUGCAUGCGAUUGCUGAAUGCGGGAAACACCGCGGCCUGCAUGGAGCGCCACGGACAAGAGUCUGUGUGUAGCACCAUUUGGGAUGUGGAGAGAGGCCCCCAGACACUGCGAGGCAGCACCACUGCCUCCCCGAGGAUGACCCGCAGGGACACGCCUUCUCGCGAGUCACCACCAACUCAAGGGCGCAGGAGGGAGUGAAUUACAGUCGCUGGGCUUUUCAUCCCCCUGCACUGUUUUUAAGAGUCUCCUUUAGGUUAACUUGAAGAACAGAUUCCAGAAAAGAAUCUGAUACAAGGCAACCCAACUUUUCAAACAGCAUCUCCAGCCAAGAAGGUAGCAUGAUUACGACAGUGAUGAAGCAGUUGAAAGGGUCUCAUUACCUUUACCAAGGUUUCCCAGCUUCUCCUAGGCCUGAACAGAAAUCCUUCCAGAGAGCUCCUUCCACCAGACCGUGGUCUCCACUCUUUCUGUGAUGCAUCUUCAUUUCAGAUUUUAAUGCCUGAUUUCUGACAUUUUAAUACGGCAACCUGUGAACGCUGCCUACAUCAGGAAGACGGGGGAUCUUUGAAGCUCUCUGUCCUAAGCUUCAUUUGCAAUUAGGUUGCAGGCAAUGGGCAGCGAUGGGGAUGUCGUAUGAAGGACAAAAGAGCAGGUGAGGGGUUGCCACGCUUCCCUCCUCCCCAGCCGUCACGAUGAGGCUGCCACAAGUUCCAGAGGGCACAGUUCAAAGGCAGGGGAGGCUGGGUCUGGCCUGCCUGGAUCCUGAGUGACCAUAUGGAGCAGAGCCUCCGCUGGUCUGUGUUGCUGUGCUCUGCGUGGGAUGACUCAAGUUUACAUGCGAAGCGGGCUGGCCCUCCUUACCCGGAUCCCUUCAUCCCAUCACGACGCUGCCAACUUCACUCUGGCGGGAACCACGCCCACUGACGUCGCCCUGUAUCUCAGUUCCUCCACUCCCAAAUUUCAGCCGCCUAAUCUGAUGAGCAGUUUCUACAAGUGAGAAGGCUUUGCUCAGGAAACACAUGGUUUAUUUAACUCCGGCCUUCUGAAGACAAUGCCCCUGUUUUUCUUGUUUCUCCCAAUAAAAAUCAGCUCGUAGCAAGUCAAUACAGAAUUAUUUUUUUGGCAACAAAAGCUUCUCUGUAACAUUCAAACUAUGCGUUUCCCUGUCCAGAAGUAAGGUUGGUUUUGGCCAUGGUUCCUUAGAACAGCGAGGACAGGCAUAAUCGUUUUUCUUUCCUUCUCUCCUCUUUUGCAUGCCAUGAACAUUCCCAACUUUUUCACAGAGGCAUUAGAAACUGGGCGAGUCUUUCAACUGUUUCAGACGCACACACACAAUCCAUAGCUAAUGGUGAUAACUGAGAGAACACGAGGCCUGUUUGUUUUCUUUUGGGCUCUUGCCCUUUCUUUUUUGCCAAUUUCCACAGGCAGGGAAGGAGCUCACAGGACUUGCACUCCGUGGAUUCGAGCGACGGGAGGCUGAAACAGAGCAUUAGCAAAACACAUUAGGGAAAGAUCACGUUGCGAGAAGAGCAGGUUGGAGCUGGGAGGGCGGCCUCCCGCUGAGUUUGGAAUCCAGGGGUGUGCAGCUGGGUGCGAUGGUGCUCACCCCUGGGGAUGUUCCCCUCCCUGCAUUGUGUAGGAUCUACCAGGCGGGACCUCCCUGUUCAACCCAAACUGUGGUACGUGGCACCUGAUUUAAAGGGACUCGCUCUGAAAAGCCUUGCUGUCGUCAGCACAGCUUCCAUGAACCGUCGCUCAGAGCGCGUUCCCAUUGGCUACGGGCGACUCUGGCCCCGCUGCUGAUUGGCUGCGUGUCUAGGUACUUGACCUCCUGGAAUCUCUGGUUUCUUCAUCAAUGAGAAGAGUUAACGCCCACCUUGAGAGCUGUUGUGAAGAUUCGUGGAAAUACCAUACGUCAAUGGGUCUGGAAGACAAUAGGCCCUGCGCAAUGAUCUCUGAAGUGUGUUUGUAUCAAACGGCCCAUCCCAAAGCUUGGCUUUUGAUGGAUUUUACUCUUGACCACAAGUCACCCUGUGUUGCUGUUUUUUUUUUUUUUUCUUUAAAAUCUCUGUCUCUUUCAAUGGACAUACAAAGCAUUCAUAUUAAAGACAUUACAUAACAUACAUAGCAUCUUUGUAUCCCUCUACCCGGAGAUGGGACUUCCGUGUUGGCUGAGAUGGUAAAAGCG
Long non-coding RNA from Bubalus bubalis (water buffalo), 3400 nucleotides. RefSeq lists it as uncharacterized. The record is from RefSeq and is a predicted model, not a curated record. The transcript has 3 exons. NCBI's taxonomy places the organism in Eukaryota, Metazoa, Chordata, Mammalia, Artiodactyla, Bovidae.